RNAcentral lists this ribosomal RNA (774 nucleotides) under uncultured Neocallimastigales. RNAcentral describes it as "partial large subunit ribosomal RNA". It matches the Rfam family "Eukaryotic large subunit ribosomal RNA", at positions 20 to 635 of the family's 3401-position model. Lineage: Eukaryota; Fungi; Neocallimastigomycota; Neocallimastigomycetes; Neocallimastigales. The record is from RNAcentral.
ACUAGAGUAGCACUCGCAUAUCAAUAAGCGGAGGAAAAGAAACUAACAAGGAUUCCCCUAGUAACGGCGAGUGAAGCGGGAAGAGCUCAAAUUUGAAAUCUUAAAGGGUUUCCCUUUACGAAUUGUAGUUUAAAGAAGUGUUUUCUGUUGAGGUUUUGGUAAAAGUUCUUUGGAAUAGGACAUCAUAGAGGGUGAGAAUCCCGUAUUUGACCUUUACUUUCAACUUUGUGAUACACUUUCAAAGAGUCGGAUUGUUUGGGAAUGCAGUCCAAAAUGGGUGGUAAAUUUCAUCUAAAGCUAAAUAUUGGCGAGAGACCGAUAGCGAACAAGUACCGUGAGGGAAAGAUGAAAAGAACUUUGAAAAGAGAGUUAAACAGUACGUGAAAUUGUCAAAAGGGAAGCGUUUGACACCAGUGUUGUUUUUCUGAAAAUCAAUUAAAGAACUGUUUAUGCUAAGCUGUUUAGACUUUAUCAGCUAUCUGUUUAGUUUUGAGCUUUUCUUUAAUGCACUUUUCAGUUAACAAGUCAACAUCAAUUUCCUUUUGCUGUAAAAAAGCUUGAGGAAGGUGGCUUGAGAUUCGUCUUAAGUGUUUAUAGCCUCUUGCCUAUGCAGUCGGAGAGAUUGAGGUCUGCAGCGUAGAUCCUUCGGGGCUAAAUGCAUUUGUGCUAAGUUAUAGCAUUUUAUAGACAACUUGUUGACUAUGAUUUGUCUUGUAGCUUACUCGCUUAUGUUAUUUUACCUACGCUUAGGAUGUUGAUCUACAGAGCGAGAGU